GCUGGCGGCGUGCUUAACACAUGCAAGUCGAACGCGCAGCAUUCUGUAGCAAUACAGGGUGUGGGCGCGUGGCGAACGGGUGCGUAACACGUGGAUAACCUUCCUUGAGGUGGGGAAUAACCCAGUGAAAAUUGGGCUAAUACCGCAUAACAUCGCGAUGGCACAUGCUGAUGCGAUCAAAGGCGCAAGUCGCCACAAGAGGGAUCCGCGGCCGAUUAGCUUGUUGGCGAGGUAAUGGCUCACCAAGGCAAUGAUCGGUAGCCGGACUGAGAGGUUGGCCGGCCACACUGGAACUGAGACACGGUCCAGACUCCUACGGGAGGCAGCAGUGGGGAAUCUUGCACAAUGGACGAAAGUCUGAUGCAGCAACGCCGCGUGGGGGAUGAAGCUUCUCGGAGUGUAAACCCCUUUCGACCCGGAAGAAUGCCCGCAAGGGUAUGACGGUACGGGUAUAAGAAGCCCCGGCUAACUACGUGCCAGCAGCCGCGGUAAUACGUAGGGGGCCAGCGUUGCUCGGAAUUACUGGGCGUAAAGGGU
This 537-nucleotide ribosomal RNA is filed under the name uncultured soil bacterium. RNAcentral's name for it is "bacterial SSU rRNA". It matches the Rfam family "Bacterial small subunit ribosomal RNA", at positions 35 to 568 of the family's 1533-position model. The record is from RNAcentral.